AUUGAACGCUGGCGGCAGGCCUAACACAUGCAAGUCGAGCGGAUGACGGGAGCUUGCUCCUUGAUUCAGCGGCGGACGGGUGAGUAAUGCCUAGGAAUCUGCCUGGUAGUGGGGGACAACGUUUCGAAAGGAACGCUAAUACCGCAUACGUCCUACGGGAGAAAGCAGGGGACCUUCGGGCCUUGCGCUAUCAGAUGAGCCUAGGUCGGAUUAGCUAGUUGGUGGGGUAAUGGCUCACCAAGGCGACGAUCCGUAACUGGUCUGAGAGGAUGAUAAGUCACACUGGAACUGAGACACGGUCCAGACUCCUACGGGAGGCAGCAGUGGGGAAUAUUGGACAAUGGGCGAAAGCCUGAUCCAGCCAUGCCGCGUGUGUGAAGAAGGUCUUCGGAUUGUAAAGCACUUUAAGUUGGGAGGAAGGGCAGUAAGUUAAUACCUUGCUGUUUCGACGUUACCGACAGAAUAAGCACCGGCUAACUCUGUGCCAGCCGCCGCCGUAA
Molecule: ribosomal RNA, 500 nt
Filed under: uncultured bacterium
Lineage: Bacteria
Description: partial 16S ribosomal RNA
Rfam family: Bacterial small subunit ribosomal RNA
Source: RNAcentral